AUAGGUUUAUUAAAAUAAUUAAAAGGGAAAAAGGUAAAAGCCUUUGCAGCCCCCGCUACUGUGAAACGGAUGAAACUAUUAUUAUGCCACUGUCUUAGAUUAAAGAUGGGAAGGAAUAGGAGUAAGAUGAUGUUGAGCCAGGAGACCUGCCUAAAUUGAUU
This 161-nucleotide non-coding RNA is filed under the name uncultured Terrisporobacter sp. Lineage: Bacteria; Bacillati; Bacillota; Clostridia; Peptostreptococcales; Peptostreptococcaceae. The record is from RNAcentral.